Non-coding RNA from Rattus norvegicus (Norway rat), 3270 nucleotides. Lineage: Eukaryota; Metazoa; Chordata; Mammalia; Rodentia; Muridae. The record is from RefSeq and is a predicted model, not a curated record.
CGACUCCUCCCGAGCAGCAAGAGGGAGACGACGACGCCCGCCUCCCGCGCCCUCCCGCCCUCCCUCCCGCGCGCGCCAACUCCCAGCGCAGCGCGCUGAUUGGCCGGCGCAUUCCCGCUCUGCUUCCCGAACCGCCAUUUUGAAAAUCUUGUUGAUUCUGAGGAACCGAGAGCGAGCGCGCGGCUUCGCGAGGACCUCGGCCCGCGCGCCUUCCACUCAGCGGCGGCCUUCUCGUGCGCACCCGCGGCUCCCAGCAUGUCGGCGGCGGCAGCCCCCGCUGCGGAGGGAGAGGACACCCCCACGCCGCCCGCGUCCGAGAAGGAACCUGAGAUGCCGGGUCCCAGGGAGGAGAGUGAGGAGGAAGAGGAGGAGGACGACGACGAUGAGGAUGAGGAGGAAGAAAAAGAAAAGAGCCUUAUCGUGGAGGGCAAGAGAGAGAAGAGGAAAGUAGAGAGGCUGACGAUGCAGGUGUCUUCCUUACAGAGAGAGCCGUUCACAAUCGCACAAGGGAAGGGUCAGAAACUUUGUGAAAUUGAAAGGAUACAUUUCUUUCUGAGUAAGAAAAAAACAGAUGAACUUAGAAAUCUACACAAACUGCUUUACAACAGGCCGGGCACAGUGUCCUCUUUGAAGAAGAAUGUGGGUCAGUUCAGUGGCUUUCCAUUUGAAAAAGGCAGUACCCAGUAUAAAAAGAAGGAAGAAAUGUUGAAAAAGUAUAGAAACGCCAUGUUAAAGAGCAUCUGUGAGGUUCUUGAUCUAGAGAGGUCAGGUGUGAACAGUGAACUAGUGAAGAGGAUCUUGAAUUUCUUAAUGCAUCCAAAGCCUUCUGGCAAACCAUUGCCAAAAUCCAAAAAAUCUUCCAGCAAAGGUAGUAAAAAGGAACGGAACAGUUCUGGAACGACAAGGAAGUCAAAGCAAACUAAAUGUCCUGAAAUUCUGUCAGAUGAGUCUAGUAGUGAUGAAGAUGAGAAGAAAAACAAGGACGAGUCUUCAGAAGAUGAAGAGAAAGAAAGUGAAGAGGAGUGACAUAAACAGAAACCAGGCCAACUGUGGAGAUCCAUGGAGGACAAAAGAAGACAAUGCUCUGUAGACACGAAGUAAUCAGAUCACCCCAUGUAAAAACUGUUAGCGAGAUUCUCCCAACACGGUUUGUCCUGACAGGCUUUAUGAGAAAAAUCCUAAUAAAGUCUGUAGAUCGGUUUUUCCCCUUCUCAUCUGGUUUAUUAUGACACCUCUUCCACCAGCAACCGUUCAUAGUCACUACUCCUGAGGAAGGCACGGGUGAGCGUCACUGUUGCCUGUAUCCAUGAUGAAAAGUUGGAGAGGCAAUCUUGUGAAGAUAUUCAUAGCUGCUGUGUGUUCCUGGCUGAGGGCGGGGCCUUGUCUGGAUGGCUGUUUCAUGACAGUUGUGCCCAUCCCCCAGUUCUUGAAUUCAUUCUCUUCUCUCCCGUAAUGUUCCCUGGGCCUUGGCUGGGAGUUGAUACAGAUGUCCCAUUUAAGGGCGAGCGCUCUCCACUGUCUGUACUGUACCAGAUAGGACUCAGUGCAUUCAUUCUUACCCUCUGUUUAAAAUAAAAAAUAAAGUUGUUCUGCCCUGGGCUGAGAGCUGCAGUGAUCUGGGCAUAAACACAUGUACUUAGGACGUAGUUUGGCUACAUAGUCAAGUAGGCAAACGUGUUCCUCCUGUGGGCUCAGGCCCUUCCCAGCCAUAGCCUCUUGACCAGGUUUUUAUACUGUCAAUGUGUAUUCCUUCCCUGUGGGCCUCAGCCACAGAUUUGUUCAUCUGGAAAAUAACCAGCCACCAUGACAUUUGUUGUCUUGCCUGAUGAAUUGAUACUGUCAUACACAUGAGUUCUAUAGCAGAGUAAUAGAGUUGAUGCAUUUUCCCCUGCAAGGCCUUCAUAUCUUUGGCAAUAAACAUUACCCAGAGAAGGAAGCAGUUUCUAGUGCAGUUCUAUCUUGAUUUCUCUUUGUCCUAGCCAAAGUUAAUCAGGGUAAUGGUUUUAUGUCUAGAUAUUUUAUUCUUUUUCAGACAAGGAAGAAGGCAACAGGCAGAUGCUUACAUACUGCCCUUGGAAGGGGAACUUAACCAGAAGCCUCUGUCUGUCUAAGGCUGUUUAGAUCCCCAAGAUAGUACUUUUCUUUGUUUCUUCUCGUAUUGUUUUUUCAUUUCAUUUUAUUUUUUGGCUUUUCGAAACAGGGUUUCUCUGCAUGUGGCCCUGGCUGUCCUGGAACUUGCUCUGUAGACUAGUUUUGCCUGGAAUUCACAGAUUUGUCUGCUUCUGCCUCCCAUGUGCUGGGUUUAAAGGUGUGUGCCACCACAGCCCAGCAGUACUUAACUUCUAAUGGCUGCUAUACUUAAUCUGGGAUGGUUUGACUUUGGGUGGGGUUGGGGAGCUUGUUCCCCUUCCUGCCUUCUUAAGAAAUGGACAAUCGGGGUUGGGGAUUUAGCUCAGUGGUAGAGCGCUUGCCUAGGAAGCGCAAGGCCCUGGGUUCGGUCCCCAGCUCCGGGAAAAAAAAGAACCAAAAAAAAAAAAAGAAAUGGACAAAUCAAAGCAGGACGCUGUUCAUUCAACAUCUGCAAAUCAGAAGCCUGCAGUUACAAAGUUUGUUAACUGUCUUUUGUUGAGCAAGUUGUUUAAUAGUAGGAGUAUGAGCAUACAUAUUUUUCUAUUCCUUAAUAAUUCUUUUAGAGUCAGGCGGGGUUAGCACAUGCCUUUUAUCCCAGCACGCAGGAGGCAGAGGCAGAGGCAGUCAGAUUUCUGAGUUUGAGGACAGCCUGGUCUACAGAGAUGAGAUCCAAGAUACCCAUGGCUACAGAGAGAAUCCCUCUAGAAAAAUAAUAACACUUUUAGAAACUAAGAAACUUUGUAAUUUGAACAACAGACAUCAAAACUAAGUAACCUAUUUAAAUCUUUUGUCCGAAAUCAAAGUUGAUAGGUCACCUUGAUAAAAUCCAUUUACAUUUCAUUCUUUUAAUGAAUUAUAACUGGAAUUGUACAUCCCUUUUGGCAUUUUGAUUUUUCUCUACCAACAUGUUAGAACAAUCCUGUAUUUAAGCUAAUUUUUUUCAUUUUUAUUUUGUUCAUCUGUUCGUUCAUUCAGUACAACCUUUCUGCUGUGAGGACAGAAUUCUGGCUCUGUGACAGGCAUCUUUUUUGGUGACCCUCCUUCAAGAGCCCUGCUGCCUAUAACAGAUAGCAACCACCAAAAAAGACAUCUAAAAAAGAAAAAGCAAAACAGAAAGCUACCACUAAAAGUAAAAAAUCU